RNAcentral lists this transfer RNA (67 nucleotides) under Sciurus anomalus (Caucasian squirrel). RNAcentral's name for it is "tRNA-Thr". The record is from RNAcentral. Lineage: Eukaryota; Metazoa; Chordata; Mammalia; Rodentia; Sciuridae.
GCUCUAAUAGUAUAACCUAUUACUCUGGUCUUGUAAACCAGAAAUGAAGUCUCCUCUUCUUAGAGCA